This 497-nucleotide ribosomal RNA is filed under the name uncultured bacterium. RNAcentral describes it as "partial 16S ribosomal RNA". It matches the Rfam family "Bacterial small subunit ribosomal RNA", at positions 28 to 507 of the family's 1533-position model. The record is from RNAcentral.
GAUGAACGCUGGCGGCGUGCCUAAUACAUGCAAGUCGAGCGAACGGACGAGAAGCUUGCUUUUCUGAUGUUAGCGGCGGACGGGUGAGUAACACGUGGAUAACCUACCUAUAAGACUGGGAUAACUUCGGGAAACCGGAGCUAAUACCGGAUAAUAUUUUGAACCGCAUGGUUCAAAAGUGAAAGACGGUCUUGCUGUCACUUAUAGAUGGAUCCGCGCUGCAUUAGCUAGUUGGUAAGGUAACGGCUUACCAAGGCAACGAUGCAUAGCCGACCUGAGGGGGUGAUCGGCCACACUGGAACUGAGACACGGUCCAGACUCCUACGGGAGGCAGCAGUAGGGAAUCUUCCGCAAUGGGUGAAAGCCUGACGGAGCAACGCCGCGUGAGUGAUGAAGGUCUUCGGAUCGUAAAACUCUGUUAUUAGGGAAGAACAUAUGUGUAAGUAACUGUGCACAUCUUGACGGUACCUAAUCAGAAAGCCACGGCUAACUACGUG